Solanum lycopersicum (tomato) is the source of this 467-nucleotide long non-coding RNA. RefSeq lists it as uncharacterized. The record is from RefSeq and is a predicted model, not a curated record. NCBI's taxonomy places the organism in Eukaryota, Viridiplantae, Streptophyta, Magnoliopsida, Solanales, Solanaceae.
CUCAUUCUUUCAAUUCACUAACUCAUUCACUCAUUCACUUUCAACACAAGUACUCUCAAUAACAAGUUCUCUCAUUACACUUUGCUCUCUCAUUCCCAGUUUGCCUUUUCUUUAAAUACUUUAAAUAUUACUCUCCUAUUCUUAAAAAAGUUGGAACUCUUGUAAAUCUUUGAAUCAUCCUUUGAACUCUUUCUUGCUGUGUUGCUGUAGUGGAUCGAAACCUCACUUAAUACUUCAUUGCUGAUAAAAUUUUCUGCAUAAUUGGUAUUGCACUUAGAGUUCAAGAUGUUGAAGAUUUGCCUAGAAAAAAUUGUGGACGAAGCCUCGUUCAUUUUAUUGUUAUAUAUAUAUGUUUAUUCGUUCUUUAUUUUUACUUGUAAUGUUUGUACAACUCUUUAACUUUAUAUAUAUAAAAUGAAUUUGGGGGAUCAUCUAAGGGGAGGGGGAUUAUACGCAAAUUUGUAAUA